RNAcentral lists this ribosomal RNA (492 nucleotides) under uncultured bacterium. Its description in RNAcentral is "partial 16S ribosomal RNA". It matches the Rfam family "Bacterial small subunit ribosomal RNA", at positions 29 to 507 of the family's 1533-position model. The record is from RNAcentral.
AGUGAACGCUGGCGGCAGGCCUAACACAUGCAAGUCGAACGGCAGCACAGUAAGAGCUUGCUCUUACGGGUGGCGAGUGGCGGACGGGUGAGGAAUACAUCGGAAUCUACUUUUUCGUGGGGGAUAACGUAGGGAAACUUACGCUAAUACCGCAUACGACCUACGGGUGAAAGCAGGGGAUCUUCGGACCUUGCGCGAUUGAAUGAGCCGAUGUCGGAUUAGCUAGUUGGCGGGGUAAACGCCCACCAAGGCGACGAUCCGUAGCUGGUCUGAGAGGAUGAUCAGCCACACUGGAACUGAGACACGGUCCAGACUCCUACGGGAGGCAGCAGUGGGGAAUAUUGGACAAUGGGCGCAAGCCUGAUCCAGCCAUACCGCGUGGGUGAAGAAGGCCUUCGGGUUGUAAAGCCCUUUUGUUGGGAAAGAAAAGCAGCAGGUUAAUACCCCGCUGUUCUGACGGUACCCAAAGAAUAAGCACCGGCUAACUUCGUG